Molecule: long non-coding RNA, 187 nt
Filed under: Parus major (Great Tit)
Lineage: Eukaryota; Metazoa; Chordata; Aves; Passeriformes; Paridae
Description: lncRNA (ENSPMJG00000018731.1)
Source: RNAcentral
AACCUCUCAGAUCAUCCAGUCCAAGCAAUCUUUCCAUUCUUCUCAAUCCUGAGGAUUGAAAUUACAUCAGUGGGGAUAAAAAUAUAUGUUUUGCUGUCCAGGUAAUCCCACAGGAGUCUGGCCAAACUCCAUAAAGCUCCAUGGAAGCAGACUGGGACACUUCACUGAGGUGAGGCUGAAACUGGAC